UAAUACCGGAUAGAUCAAAGAUACUGGAAUGUUCUCUGGUCCAAAACUCCGGUGCCCAAGGAUGGGUCUGCGGCCUAUCAGGUUGUAGUGGGUGUAACGUACCUACUAGCCUACGACGGGUAAGGGUUGUGAGAGCAAGAUCCCUGAGAUGGAUUCUGAGACAUGAAUCCAGGCCCUACGGGGUGCAGCAGGCGCGAAACCUUUACACUGCGGGAAACCGCGAUAAGGGGACCCCGAGUGCCAGCACCUAGUGCUGGCUGUCCAGCUGUCCAAAUAACAGUUGUUAGCAAGGGCCGGGCAAGACCGGUGCCAGCCGCCGCGGUAACACCGGCGGCCCGAGUGGUAGCCGCUAUUAUUGGGUUUAAAGGGCCCGUAGCCGGCCUAUUAAGUCUCUUGGGAAAUCUGGCGGCUCAAUCGUCAGGCGUUC
This 427-nucleotide ribosomal RNA is filed under the name uncultured archaeon. RNAcentral's name for it is "bacterial SSU rRNA". It matches the Rfam family "Archaeal small subunit ribosomal RNA", at positions 147 to 575 of the family's 1478-position model. The record is from RNAcentral.